This 411-nucleotide ribosomal RNA is filed under the name uncultured microorganism. RNAcentral's name for it is "bacterial SSU rRNA". It matches the Rfam family "Bacterial small subunit ribosomal RNA", at positions 9 to 410 of the family's 1533-position model. The record is from RNAcentral.
GAGUUUGAUCGUGGCUCAGGAUGAACGCUGGCGGCGUGCCUAAUACAUGCAAGUCGAGCGAACGGACGAGAAGCUUGCUUCUCUGAUGUUAGCGGCGGACGGGUGAGUAACACGUGGGUAACCUACCUAUAAGACUGGGAUAACUCCGGGAAACCGGGGCUAAUACCGGAUAACACAUGAAACCGCAUGGUUUCAUGAUGAAAGACGGUCUUGCUGUCACUUAUAGAUGGAUCCGCGCUGCAUUAGCUAGUUGGUAAGGUAACGGCUUACCAAGGCAACGAUGCAUAGCCGACCUGAGAGGGUGAUCGGCCACACUGGAACUGAGACACGGUCCAGACUCCUACGGGAGGCAGCAGUAGGGAAUCUUCCGCAAUGGGCGAAAGCCUGACGGAGCAACGCGCGUGAGUGAUG